AAAUAAGGCACUGUUGCCAGGGCCUGAGCCCAGCAGGAAAAGGGUGUGUGCAGAGGGAGGGCCUCGGGUCCUGCUGCUCCUCCUGGACUCCUUCAUCCCAAUCCCUUCACAUCCUUCUCUGACAAGGACUCCCACGUCCCUCCCCGGCUAACCUGGAUCCUGCUCAACCCAACACCUGCCUUCUCUCGGUCCCUGGGUUCCCGCAGGCCUUGGGGCCCCACAGUCAUAUCUGCUGUUCCUGCAGUUCCCUUCUUCCCUCUGUCCCAGCUCGGCACAGUCACAGCAACUCUCCAAAUCAUGACGCUCAAAAUGCCACAUCUAAAAAGAACAUCCGGGCUCUGCCCCUAAGAAAGAAUUCAUGCACCUACAAAGAGGAAGGAACGGCACAGCCAUCCACCUUUCAACUCCUGAGUUUCCAUCUGCACCCUUCAACACUUAUUAGGACUUACAUGAAACUAUGUGACAUCUUUUUAUUUCUAUUAAACAAAAUACAGCUUUCUUCCUUGUAUCUGAAGAAGUUGGCACCCUCUACACAGAACAGGAGGCCCACAGUUC
This 555-nucleotide long non-coding RNA is filed under the name Homo sapiens (human). Its description in RNAcentral is "non-protein coding lnc-GPCPD1-8:5". The record is from RNAcentral. Lineage: Eukaryota; Metazoa; Chordata; Mammalia; Primates; Hominidae.